RNAcentral lists this unclassified non-coding RNA (3646 nucleotides) under Hevea brasiliensis (rubber tree). The record is from RNAcentral. Lineage: Eukaryota; Viridiplantae; Streptophyta; Magnoliopsida; Malpighiales; Euphorbiaceae.
CACAAACCCAAAUACAGCUUUUAUCUUCUCAGAAAACAAAAAAAGCUCUCUAUUACUAUGGAUGCAAGGUGUAUUGUAUUCAAUACUCAGUAGAUAAGCGCUUGAUGAUUUUGAUUGCAUGAGUAGCAUAGCAGCGUAUCAUUACUCUGGACUUACAACACGUGUACGGUAAAAGAGUUAUUGGGGCGUCAGUGGGCAGCCAAAUUUAGGGAACAGAUAACAUCAGAAACUGCCACCAUAUAUGAAAAGUGACAGAGAGUUGAGUGUAUCCUUCAAUCACCAGUCACUACCAUGUACAGAUUUGUGGGCUGCAGAGGAAUCAGAGCCAGAGCUGCCCAGAAGGGCAUAGGUUGGCUCAGUUCAUUCACUCUUUCAAGAUCUGUUCAUUCUUUGCCUUUUGCAACAGUAGAAGCUGAGGAGAUAUCAGGUUCUCAGCCUGCGGAAGUGCAGAACUUGGUGCAGGGGAAGUGGACAGGAUCUUCAAGUUGGAAUACAAUUGUGGAUCCUUUAAAUGGAGAACCAUUCAUUAAGAUUGCUGAAGUAGAUGAAACAAGAAUUCAGCCAUUUGUGGAGAGCUUGUCCAAGUGCCCCAAGCAUGGACUGCACAAUCCCUUUAAAUCACCAGAAAGGUAUCUUUUAUACGGCGAUAUAUCUGCAAAGGCAGCCCACAUGCUUUCUGUGCCAAAGGUUUCCAAUUUCUUCACUAGGUUAAUACAAAGGGUUGCUCCAAAGAGUUAUCAGCAAGCUCUUGCUGAAGUUCAAGUUACUCAAAAAUUUCUGGAGAAUUUCUCUGGUGAUCAGGUGAUCAGUAAUUUUCAAUUACUUAAAAUAGAAAGCUUAUGGUUGGCUUUGUUUCUUAUAAAUGAGUGGAUGUGGUAUUGAUGAAACAUUAUGGUAAUUUUUUUUCCUGUGUAUGUCUUGCUCUUCAUUUGUUGGAGGAAUAUGCCCUUGACCUAAAUGCUGCACAAGCUAAAUCCAUUUUCUGUGGACAAUUUAUGCAUUUAUUUUCUGACUGAUAUAUUGGACAGGUUCGUUUCUUGGCAAGGUCUUUUGCAGUACCUGGCAAUCAUCUUGGACAGCAAAGUCAUGGUUUCCGAUGGCCAUAUGGUCCUGUAGCUAUUAUUACUCCCUUCAAUUUCCCAUUAGAGAUUCCGGUACUUCAGAUGAUGGGUGCACUAUACAUGGGCAACAAACCUGUUCUUAAAGUUGAUAGCAAGGUAUGCCUUGUUAUGGAGCAAAUGAUGCGGCUUCUUCACUACUGUGGGCUGCCAGUGGAAGAUGCAGACUUCAUAAAUUCUGAUGGAAAGACAAUGAACAAACUAUUAUUGGAGGCAAAUCCCCGUAUGACCCUCUUUACUGGUAGCUCAAGAGUUGCAGAUAAGUUGGCUGUUGACCUUAAGGGUCGUAUUAAAUUGGAAGAUGCAGGGUUUGACUGGAAAGUUCUAGGGCCUGAUGUAAAUGAGGUGGAUUAUGUUGCAUGGGUUUGUGACCAGGAUGCAUAUGCCUGCAGUGGUCAGAAGUGCUCUGCACAGUCAAUAUUAUUCAUGCAUGAGAACUGGUCAGGUACUUCACUUAUAUCCAAAAUGAAGGAUCUUGCAGAGAGAAGAAAAUUAGAAGAUCUAACAGUUGGUCCUGUUCUCACAUUUACAACUGAAGCAAUGGUAGAGCACAUGAAUAAAUUACUUCAGAUACCAGGUUCAAAGCUACUCUUUGGUGGCAAACCUCUGGAGAAUCAUUCCAUUCCAUCCAUAUAUGGUGCAAUAAAACCAACAGCCAUAUAUGUUCCUCUUGAAGAAAUUUUGAAAGAGAGCAAUUAUGAGCUGGUAACAAGAGAGAUAUUUGGACCGUUCCAGGUAAAGGAGAAAAAGAAAACUUGCUAACUUUCCUUCUUGUUUAUAUAUCUCCUUUUGGUGGAUUUUGUCAAACUUCGUACUUCUUUUUACAUUUAAGUUCUAGCUUGUUUGCUGAGGUUGUACAAGUAUCUUAACUAAACCAUGACAUAGCCUUCAAUUUUGAAAGAAGUUUAUUUGAUUUUAUGCUUUAAUAUUACUAUGCUGUGCAGAACUUGAUUGGGCCCUGUUGAUAUAUAUAUGUAUGUAUAUUGCUGAAUUUGGUAAUAAGAUAAUUGCAGUCAUGAUAAGUCCAUUUGUAACUUUUUCCAACUGGUGAAACCACUUGUGGGUUACAGGAUAGAUUAUAGGCUGAAAAUCAUAUUUCAGAUAUGAUAAUGUGCAUUUCACAUGACAUUGAAGUAUAAAACAAGGUUUGGAAAAACCACUGUUUAUUGUUUAAUACUUGAUCCUCAUGAAGGUGAGUUAUGAAUUUAUGAUCGACUGAACAGAUGAAGACUUCUCAAAUUUCUAAAUAAUCACAUGAAAAUAUUUUCUAAAGCUUAGGAUGUGAUGUGGUAAGGAUACAGUAAGUGAUUGAUAUUUCAUUUUUUUUUAUUCUGAUAUAUACUUCAUUUUCUUUUGUUGAGUGUUAUAACACGCUAUAAAUAUGCAUUCAGUUGGAACAUAUACCAAAAUUUGCUUUAGAGUUGUGGCUAUAUAUAUAAAGUAACGAAUACAUAUCGGAAGGUAUCCACAGAGUUUCAUUUUCCACUAUAAAUACAUCAUCCUAACAGAAAUAUCUGUACUCCAGGUUAAUGAGAUUAUGCAAUUUGAUGUUUCUUUCCAAACUUUACAGUAUUAUGUGAAUAAAUAUUGUUAAGACCUGGAAGCUAAAUGCUACUAACAUAAGCUAAUGUAUUUGCUUCUAGAUUAUUACUGAUUACAAGAUAGAUCAACUUCCACUGGUUUUGGAAGCUCUGGAGAGGAUGCAUGCUCAUUUAACAGCUGCAGUCGUUUCAAAUGAUCCUCUGUUUCUGCAGGCAAGGCUAGAAAGCUUCUAAAUCUCUCUCUCUGUCUCUUUGACUCUUUCCAUGGAGAUCUUUGAAGUAUUGACUGUAUCAUUACCAUCAUUAUAUUUGCAUUUAACAUUGUUAUUAUAUUUGAGACUCUAAUAUCAGAUUACUGGGGUUGACAAAGUGCUACCCUCUUAAUUUGACACUUUAAAAUGUGAUCUUUCCACCAAGAUUAUUUGUGGCAACCUUCAGGAACUUUAACCAAUCGAGUAUUUCCCCAAAUGAUAAUUCUAAAUUGGUUUUAAAUUUCAAUUUGUUUAUAAUUGACAGUGAAUUUGCAGGAAGUUAUUGGAAAAACUGUAAAUGGGACUACAUAUGCUGGAAUAAGAGCAAGAACAACUGGGGCUCCUCAGAAUCAUUGGUUUGGACCAGCAGGAGACCCAAGAGGUGCAGGAAUUGGAACACCAGAAGCCAUAAAACUAGUCUGGUCUUGCCAUAGAGAAAUAAUAUAUGAUGUUGGUCCCCUGCCAGGGCAUUGGGAAAUUCCACCAUCAACGUGAGGAGCCAAAGUUGACCACAAAGAUGGGCUUUUGUUAUGCUUGAAUCUGCAAACAAGCUACUAUAGGUGUCUUUAAUGCACCGAGUCUCCCCUCUUUUGUGAGAGUUUGAGGAAAUUUUGAAUAAGACAAUGUAGCAUCGAAUCAUUCAACCUGCUAUUACUCCUUAGCUUUUGAAAUAAAAUGAAAGAAAGUAUGUGUUAUUGACCCGAUAUUCUUCUGCAAGUUGCUCAAUCAAAGCUAA